CCACUAGAAGCAGAGAAGUCCAGAUGCUUCUGAAAGGCUCUGAGCUCCUGAUCCCAUGAGUGGAAGGAUCAUAUAAUUUCUAUCUCUUCAACGUACCUACUCAACUCCCAGCAAGGACUCAGUGAGAUUUCCCUGUGUCCACAUACUUCUUCCUUUUUUUUAUACCAAGACAGAAGGCCAUCUUCGUUCUCCCCAUGUCUGAGCUUUUCAUCCCCUUUGUUCUCACUCCCAAAUUGAUGUUUCCUCUGAACUAGAGGCCAAUUAGUAAACCCUAUAGGUAGUGAAGGAAUAUGUGAGAGGCAUUUGCAGACAGGACAACACUUGUGACAUCACAAGAGAAGCUAUGGCUCUCCAGGAUACAAGAGAUUUUUUCGUGGAGGGUCUAAUGAAGAUCUAACUGACAAUUGCCAUGGCCUACAUCUAAACAGCUUUCCUUAUAUUGACCAGUAUUGAGAGUCCUUUUUCCAGAAAUCUGCAGAUACAUCCUUUUGAGGAAUUAAUCCUUCUCACUGGAGACCAUAGAGGGGACCUGCAUUUCAGUGAUAAUUAAAUGUCACUUCAAGACAUCAAAGCAAAAUAUCAAAGUGAGAAUGGAAUAAAUUUGUUAGGACAGUGUUUUACAAACAACUUCUUUCACAAACAGCCUUGUAAGGAGAGUUAUGAAAUUUUGAAUUUCAUAAUUGCCUUUGCUGGUACUCUGGCAGAAUCAACUCACCAUUGUCUGGUACUUUAUGGGCAAUUAAACACUACAAACAGAGCUGAAUGCAUCAUAUGCUCUGCCAUCUGUGUAAUAUGCCUACAGUGAAGAACAACUAUGCUAAAGCUAUUCAUCUGUUUUUCAAUCAGCAUCCUCAUACAAGUGGGGACUUCUCUGGGAUCUUGGAUGGAUAGGUUGAGAACACUGGCUGAGAUCUGCAAAUGCAUAUGUGGGAUGGUACAUGCUUGGGGAAUGAAAGGCCUGUGUGUAGAUCAUAAACAACUUCACAAUAUUCAUUGCUUUAAUAACUUCUAGGAAGUGGACUUCUGUAAAAUGACUUCAACAGAUCAGCAUGUGUAUAGAAACAGUAACUGAUUCCCUGGAGAUUUAAAAGCACUGGAUUGUGACUUAGAAGUAGAUACAUGUCAGCACAUGAAGGCUGGAUAAUCAAACCUCUGUUGUGUCUUAAGAUUUCCUUCCCAAUGGUUGGAGGCAAACAGCAACAGAUUUUUUUUGCACUGAGGAAUAGAAUAAAAGCCAAUUUAUUGAAAAUCCAUAUCAUAAGACAAUACUGAAAUCAUCUGUGACGAACAUCAACUCUCAGCAUGGCUUCAGCAUGGCUGAUUGUCUGCUGUCAGCAUGGGCUUUUACUGUCACCCCUUUUAUAACUGCAGAGAUCGAAUCUGCUUUAGCCACAUCAUCAUCUCCUCAUUCUGUUGCAGGUAGAUUAGAUCACUGUGUCUGCCUAUUCAGUUUUUCUGUACAUAUAAAGGCCCAAGGAACUAUUUUCAUUUCAGUGAGCUGGUAUAAGUAAUCUUGAAUCACAUUGGUGAUGAUAGUGGCUGUCAUGUCUUCAUAACCCAGAAGACCAUGUUUGCAAAGGAGUUGAUUGAGGAAGUCUUGGCUAUUUCUGUAAUAGGGGCAGUUGGGAUAGAUGAACAGGACCACCUUCCCAGAUUAGAUCUCGCAGUUCACAUACACCUGAGCGAUGCUGACAGGGUGCAGCUUCCCAGAAAAGUAUGUUCAGUUGAAGAUACUGGUCUGUUUGGGAGUGGCAAUCCAAUGUAUUCUUAACCAUGCAUUCUAUUUGAAUUCCCAUAGAAAACAUGGAAGAAAGAAGCUUUUACUUUUUCAUGUUUGCACUCACAAUGCUACCAAACCCUCACAGACAUUAGACCCUGCAUGCUGAAGAUUUAUCCAUAUACCAAUGACCAGAUGAGACAUCUAGCCUUGUGGACUAAUAAACUAAUGGAUUCUAGGACUUUACAAAUAGUCAGCCAUUGUUAAAUUAUGUGGUCCAUAGUCUGUGAUCAUUGUGACCAGUCUGAUUUCUCUGUACAGAGAUUUUCAUCCUUUAGUAUCUGUUGGGGAACACCAACUACUACACCAGGUAUCUAGGGAAGAGCCUUUGUCUCUUCUAGGGAAGGCAGUUUGUCUCUAGUAAGAGUUUCAGGUCAGUUACCAAUUUCCAAUGGUCACAUUACCUUAGUCUGAUUUUCAAAUGAUGCUUUGAUACAGUCCUUCUUAUUUUCUAUAGUUCUUGGCAACAGAAUUAAAAUAGCAACAAUAACCUAUCAAUGAAAUGCACAGUAAUUCAUUUGCAAGAGUGCGUCAGAGAGAAGGAUUAUAGGACAAACAAGAAUUGGAAAACAAGAUGUCCUUCCUUCUGAGGACCAAGAACAGGAAACCCAAACUACAUAAAUAUCUGAGACAAGUUGUCUGAAGUUUGUGCUUUCCUUCAAUCAUGGGGCUCCUAGUGAAGGAGCUCAGAUCUCAAGAGUUGGCAAAAAUUACCUUUAUUGCUGAGCCUGGUCAACUGCUAAAUAUGUCAUUCAUGGACCUGAAGAAACUCUGUAUCCAUCCUGCUAUAAUGUGUGUAUAUCUAUGUAUCAUUCAUAGAAUGGACACUUUACUGUUGGUUUGAAAGCAACAGUUUGUCCCUGGAGAGACUCAGAUUUCUUCUUUCACACAUUAUUUCACAGGAUGAUGGUUGGUUCAUUCCGGGAGUCGCUUUGCAAUAAUCAUUCAGUGAUCUGGAAGAAACACUUUUUAAUAUUGUGAGAUCUACUAGAACAAUAUCAACCAUCAUUUUCUCUUCCCAGUUUAGUACUGAAUCAUACUCCACUAAAGUCUGAGGUCUCUGAUGAAGGCAGCAUCCCCUCAGACUAGUCUGAAUAUUGCUCUUGGCACUGCAUUUAUAAGACAUCAAUGUGAUUUCCUUACCACUUUCUUCCCCAGGAGAGUUUUUCAAUUCUUCAUUUAAUCCGAUGUGUCUAAU
This is a long non-coding RNA of Rattus norvegicus (Norway rat), 2975 nucleotides long. RefSeq lists it as uncharacterized. The record is from RefSeq and is a predicted model, not a curated record. Lineage: Eukaryota; Metazoa; Chordata; Mammalia; Rodentia; Muridae.